Long non-coding RNA from Lactuca sativa (garden lettuce), 1233 nucleotides. RefSeq lists it as uncharacterized. NCBI's taxonomy places the organism in Eukaryota, Viridiplantae, Streptophyta, Magnoliopsida, Asterales, Asteraceae. The record is from RefSeq and is a predicted model, not a curated record.
AGCUCAAAAUUAGAUUACCAGAUGAAGCUCAAUAUUUAAUCUCGGUAGAUGUAACACUCAUGAAUUUUGAUAUAAUUAAUAGGACUAAGAAAUUUGAUCCGACUUCAUCGUUGGACUUAAUUUGUAGGUUUCAUAUAUUUCUUCGGUUGAAUUUUUUUUGCUAAAUAGGUUGAUAUAAAUUAUGGUUUAGAAUUUUGAAGGGUUGGUAAUAUAAAUGUGCAAGUGGAGGGACUCACAUUGCAAGAAUUGGAGAUAAUUGUUAAAUUACGUAACGAGUUGUUUUCUUUAUUUCUUGUUUGCCGCAUCCCAUAUGAAAAAAACAUGCACAGUGGAGGGGAUUGCGUUUGAUUUGGAAUCGAUCGAAAGUGCUGAAGUUAGAAAUAGCACCAGAGCUUAGUUUUGUUGAGAUCAAAGGGUGUAAUUUCAGGUGCUCGAUGUAAUGCCUGUGGCUUAUUGUUGUUUAUCUUCUUCACAUGUUUCCAAUUAGAAUACAAAAGAAUGUAAUGGAUCUAACUGAAAAAGGAGACAUCCUGAGACAACGUAUUAGCUACUUCUAGAAAUGCACUGUGUAGUCCUUCAACACAACUCACUAGAGCAACCCAUAUUUCUAUUCCUAAACAUUGAGAAUUGAAGGCAACUCAACGUGUUGGACAGCACCCUCAACACCUGCAAUCAUGGAGUCUUGUAAAAAUACAUUUUUUUUUCUAUAAAAAUGUUAGUGAAAGGCUGAAUGUGAAAGAAAGGAUAGAAUAAUUAGAACAAUAAAAGUCAAGGUCUUGCCUCACUUUCAUCCGUGAAGAGUGAUGACAAAAAAUUGGGAUAAUUUGCAACUGCACAUCAUGCCCUAUUUCCAAUUAGUGAUUUGAAAGAAAUCAGUCAAAAACAUGAACGAAGUUGGAGAGAGGGAAAAUUGGAAUAGGGUCCAAGUACAAUUACCGUAUGUGUGUGAUUGCAAACAACAGUGGAAGAAGGAUGACGACUUCAAUGUUAAUCCAUCGUGAGGAAGAGGGAAACCUGCAAUUGUAAAUCUUAACGUUGUGACAUAUCCUGACAUUUAGAAGUAAGGGCAUUAUCGUCCAUUUAGUGUGUUUUUUCAAUUAUCGAUUUGUUUCUGUAAAAGAGCUUUAAGGGUAUGUUUUAUCAUUUAUCGAUUUGUUUCUGUAACAUAUUGAGAUUUGAAUCGAAACCCUUAAUUUGGUGGAUGAGGUAAUCGGAAUUCAAGUACGAGAUAAA